Eriocheir sinensis (Chinese mitten crab) is the source of this 314-nucleotide long non-coding RNA. RefSeq lists it as uncharacterized. The transcript has 2 exons. NCBI's taxonomy places the organism in Eukaryota, Metazoa, Arthropoda, Malacostraca, Decapoda, Varunidae. The record is from RefSeq and is a predicted model, not a curated record.
UUUUUUUUUUUUUUUUUACAGCAAAGGAGACAGCUCAAGGGCACAAAAAAGUAAACAUUAAUAAAAAAAAAAAAAGCCCGCUACUCGCUGCUCCUAAAAAGAAUCCAAAGAGGUGGCCGAAAGAUAAGUCAGUUUCGGGAGGAGAGGUGUCCUGAUACCCUCCUCUUGAAAGAGUUCAAGUCGUAGGCAGGAGGAAAUACAGAUGAAGGAAGAUUGUUCCAGAGUUUACCAGCAUGAGGGAUGAAAGAGUGAAGAUGCUGGUUAACUCUUGCAUAAGGGGUUUGGACAGUAUAGGGAUGAGCAUGAGUAGAAAG